GUGGGAGCAGCACAUAAUCUAAAAUUGGAACAAUACAGAGAAGAUUAGCAUGGCACUGCGCAAGGAUGACAUGCAAAUUCAUGAAGCGUUCCAUAUUUUU
RNAcentral lists this small nuclear RNA (100 nucleotides) under Moschus moschiferus (Siberian musk deer). The record is from RNAcentral. Lineage: Eukaryota; Metazoa; Chordata; Mammalia; Artiodactyla; Moschidae.